AUGCAAAGAACUUUGAAAAGAGAGUUAAAGAGUACCUGAAAUUGCUGAAAGGGAAGCGAAGGAAACCAGUGUCGGCUCGGUCAUAUUUCCCUGUCCGCUUGCGGAUUGGGCGCUGUGUCCGGCCUCGGUUGUUCUUGGUUGGGUCUGCUGGAAGAGCGCGGAGAGAGUUGAUCUCCGUUGCUAGCAGCGGUCCUGACUGAGGAGGACGAAAUGGUUUUCUUUACCCCGUCUUGAAACACGGACCAAGGAGUCUAACAUAUGUGCGAGUACAGGGGUGGCAAACCCCCGUGCGCAAUGAAAGUGACAGUGGUUGGACUUUUGCACAAUCCGCCGGCCUCAAUCCCUCGGGAGAACGGUCUGAGUGUGAGCAUACAUGUUGGGACCCGAAAGAUGGUGAACUAUGCCUGAAUAGGGUGAAGCCAGGGGAAACUCUGGUGGAGGCUCGUAGCGAUUCUGACGUGCAAAUCGAUCGUCAAAUUUGGGUAUAGGGGCGAAAGACUAAUCGAACCAUCUAGUAGCUGGUUCCCUCCGAAAUUUCCCUCAGGAUAGCUGCGAUCGGAGUUCAAUUUUAUCA
Molecule: ribosomal RNA, 574 nt
Filed under: Nitzschia cf. pusilla
Lineage: Eukaryota; Bacillariophyta; Bacillariophyceae; Bacillariales; Bacillariaceae
Also listed under: 3 other names
Description: eukaryotic LSU rRNA
Rfam family: Eukaryotic large subunit ribosomal RNA
Source: RNAcentral